CAUCCUGCCCUCCUUCCGUUGGGAGGGAGGAACUCAGCUUCUUCUGGAGCGCGAAAGUCAUUCACGUUUCUCUUGUGCAUAAUAGAGCUCGUAAACCGUAGGAAUUCUGAUGUGCUUCAGUGCACAGAACAGCAACAGAUGAGCUGCUUUUGGGGAGAGCUUGAGCACUCAGUCGGUCAGUGGUACAGUAGCAGACUCACAUGUGCGGACUGUUCCUGUGAGGAGCAUCAUGAUGGGGUCUCCUGCUACAGAAACUGAAGAAUUGGAAAACACCACUUUUAAGUAUCUCAUAGGAGAGCAGACUGAAAAAAUGUGGCAACGCCUGAAAGGAAUGAAAUAAACAUCUGAUCUUCGAAAGUGAUGUGGGAGUAGCAGUUGCUAUGUACUGAGGAGGAAAAUGAGGACCUACCUUCUUCUCUUUAUACAGACUUUCAACCAAAACCCUACUUUCAGUCCCACUCUGACUUCCUGAAAUCUACAACACGUGAAGCCUCCGAUUUGGGCAUCUUUUCAGAGUUCCUUAGAGUGAAACCUUUGCUUCUAGCUGUUAUUCUUUGCUAAGAUUUUCACUCCUCCAAAUACUUUCCAAACUUCCAAAAAUGAAAUUGAUCCGCUUGUAUCUUGUUGCCUUCUUUCCCAUUCACUUUGUCCUUCUGAGGAAUUUACAACACUUUUAUGUCUUUACUGUCAGGUUAGUAGAGUCUUAGGGGGUAGCAAUUACAGAUGUAUGCAUUCAGUUACCCAUGAUUAAAAAAAAAGAUGCACUAAAGUU
Long non-coding RNA from Galeopterus variegatus (Sunda flying lemur), 772 nucleotides. RefSeq lists it as uncharacterized. The record is from RefSeq and is a predicted model, not a curated record. NCBI's taxonomy places the organism in Eukaryota, Metazoa, Chordata, Mammalia, Dermoptera, Cynocephalidae. The transcript has 3 exons.